Molecule: ribosomal RNA, 268 nt
Filed under: Pelobates cultripes (western spadefoot toad)
Lineage: Eukaryota; Metazoa; Chordata; Amphibia; Anura; Pelobatidae
Description: SSU_rRNA_microsporidia
Rfam family: Eukaryotic small subunit ribosomal RNA
Source: RNAcentral
UCCCAUCAAGCCAAGUUCCUGGAGGAGAUCAAACAGCUCAUCAUGCUAGAGCACUUUUACAAUGGGCUCCACAAUGACAAGGCAACGACGCAUUCGUAUGUCAUCCAUAUCAACUUUCGAUGCCAUUUACUGCACCUACCAUGGUGACCACGGGUAAUGGGGAAUCAGGGUUCGAUUCCUUAGAGGGAGCCUGAGAAACGGCUACCACAUUCAAGGAAGGCAGCAGGCGCGCAAAUGACCCACUCUCGACGUGGGAAGGUAGUGACGA